CCUCGUGAUUAACAUGUCAGAUCAUGAUGCUCCAGAUGGAGAGUAAAAACUGGUUCAACAUUGAUGGAAGAGUAGAAGAAGUCAUCAGUGCCGGUCUAAGAGUUUGCGAUGCUGACUCACAUUGUCGAUGGACCUGAGCCGGAUUCCCACCUUCCCAUCCUGGUCCUUACAGAGGAUAAUCUCCCGCAGCCCUGGGCGGAUCUCUGCCCUCCUGAUGCCUACGUCCG
Molecule: long non-coding RNA, 227 nt
Organism: Sander lucioperca (pikeperch)
Lineage: Eukaryota; Metazoa; Chordata; Actinopteri; Perciformes; Percidae
Exons: 2
Source: RefSeq, a predicted model, not a curated record